Molecule: ribosomal RNA, 505 nt
Filed under: uncultured bacterium
Lineage: Bacteria
Description: partial 16S ribosomal RNA
Rfam family: Bacterial small subunit ribosomal RNA
Source: RNAcentral
GACGAACGCUGGCGGCGUGCCUAAUACAUGCAAGUAGAACGCACAGUUUAUACCGUAGCUUGCUACACCAUACACUGUGAGUUGCGAACGGGUGAGUAACGCGUAGGUAACCUGCCUGGUAGCGGGGGAUAACUAUUGGAAACGAUAGCUAAUACCGCAUAAUAUUAAUUAUUGCAUGAUAAUUGAUUGAAAGAUGCAAUUGCAUCACUACCAGAUGGACCUGCGUUGUAUUAGCUAGUAGGUGAGGUAACGGCUCACCUAGGCGACGAUACAUAGCCGACCUGAGAGGGUGAUCGGCCAAACUGGGACGGGGACACGGCCCAGACUCCUACGGGAGGCAGCAGUAGGGAAUCUUCGGCAAUGGACGAAAGGCUGACCGAGCAACGCCGCGUGAGUGAAGAAGGUUUUCGGAUCGGAAAGCUCUGUUGUAAGAGAAGAACGGGUGUGAGAGUGGAAAGUUCACACUGUGACGGUACCUAACCAGAAAGGGACGGCUAACUACGUG